This 497-nucleotide ribosomal RNA is filed under the name uncultured bacterium. Its description in RNAcentral is "partial 16S ribosomal RNA". It matches the Rfam family "Bacterial small subunit ribosomal RNA", at positions 28 to 507 of the family's 1533-position model. The record is from RNAcentral.
GAUGAACGCUGGCGGCGUGCCUAAUACAUGCAAGUCGAGCGAACGGACGAGAAGCUUGCUUUUCUGAUGUUAGCGGCGGACGGGUGAGUAACACGUGGAUAACCUACCUAUAAGACUGGGAUAACUUCGGGAAACCGGAGCUAAUACCGGAUAAUAUUUUGAACCGCAUGGUUCAAAAGUUAAAGACGGUCUUGCUGUCACUUAUAGAUGGAUCCGCGCUGCAUUAGCUAGUUGGUACGGUAACGGCUUACCAAGGCAACGAUGCAUAGCGGACCUGAGAGGGAGAUCGGCCACACUGUAACUUAGACACGUUCCAGACUCCUACGGGAGGAAGCAGUAGGGAAUCUUCCGCAAUGGGCGAAAGCCUGACGGAGCAACGCCGCGUGAGUGAUGAUAGUCUUCGGAUCGUAAAACUCUGUUAUUAGGGAAGAACAUAUGUGUAAGUAACUGUGCACAUCUUGACGGUACCUAAUCAGAAAGCCACGGCUAACUACGUG